AAGCAAACUCGUUCUAUCGCUGGCCUUUAUCGAAUAAGGCGAGAGGAAAGUCCGGGCAACACAGAGCAACACGCUUCCUAACAGGAAGGAUGCCUUCGGGUAGACAGCAAGUGCCACAGAAAUGAUACCGCCAUGGCAACAUGGUAAGGGUGAAAACGUGAGGUAAGAGCUCACGGAUUUGUAUGGUAACAUACAUCUCGGUAAACCUCGUGUGUUGAAAAACCAAAUAGGUUGUGAGAGUCGAAAGCUGCUCGUUUUCUUCCUUCGGGACCUCACAAUGGGUAGGUUGAUGGAGGUUAUGCGCGAGCAUAAUCCUAGAUAAAUGAUAGAAAUCCCCUCGGGGAUACAGAACCCGGCUUAUAAAGUUUGCUUCUUU
RNAcentral lists this RNase P RNA (376 nucleotides) under Sphingobacterium sp. CZ-2. RNAcentral describes it as "Bacterial RNase P class A". It matches the Rfam family "Bacterial RNase P class A". Rfam says of the family: Ribonuclease P (RNase P) is a ubiquitous endoribonuclease, found in archaea, bacteria and eukarya as well as chloroplasts and mitochondria. The record is from Rfam by way of RNAcentral. RNAcentral also lists the same sequence under 1 other name. Lineage: Bacteria; Pseudomonadati; Bacteroidota; Sphingobacteriia; Sphingobacteriales; Sphingobacteriaceae.